UGCACACACCGCCCGUCACACCAUGGAAGUUGAGGGCGCCCGAAGCCAGUGGUCCAACCCGUAAGGGAGGAAGCUGUCGAAGGUGAAAUCAAUGACUGGGGUGAAGUCGUAACAAGGUAGCCGUAUCGGAAGGUGCGGCUGGAUCACCUCCUUU
This 154-nucleotide ribosomal RNA is filed under the name uncultured Alkaliphilus sp. RNAcentral's name for it is "partial 16S ribosomal RNA". It matches the Rfam family "Bacterial small subunit ribosomal RNA", at positions 1382 to 1533 of the family's 1533-position model. Lineage: Bacteria; Bacillati; Bacillota; Clostridia; Peptostreptococcales; Natronincolaceae. The record is from RNAcentral.